UCCAUUUCCCAAACUCUUCUCCUCCACUAUUUUUUUUCUUCUUAUCUUCUCUUUUCCUCCUCCUUCAUCUCCCGUAGCACCUUCAUCACUGUGUCUGUAGACACCACCACCACCACAACUCGUUCAUCUUCUUCUUAUUCCUUCAUCACUGAAAACACACAGCUCACCAUCACUGAAACCACUAUCAACGUAAUAACGAGCUAGCUGAAUAUUUCUUCACCAACUUAUUACACCAACAGAUCGAGCUGAAUACUUACUACCACCAACACUGAUUUGAGAUGUGAUUUCAAACCACCACCACCACCACCACCACCAUCUCAACUUCUUAAUCCAUCAAAGGUUCAUUGCAAAGGUUCAUGUGGAAGAACGUUGUAUCAUGGUUUUUGGUGUGGCUCGGUAAAUUUUUUGUUGAUUGUGAAAAUUUAUCUUGCCAGGGUGUUAUUAUGCCUGAAUUGGUGCCUCAAAGUUCGAUUGCAGUAUGGAAUGAAUUAGUUCUGUAGCAAUUGUGAUUUCAUGGGGGAGUUAGAUGUAUGUUAGGACUGAGAUUGCAGUUGCAGGUUGUGAUGUUGAAUGGUACGAAUCUCUGAUGUAAUUGGCACAAUCGGUUUUGCAGCUACAGCUUAGUGUUGGUGACUGAACAGCUGCAGGUAAUGGUGAAGUUGAUAUUGUGUUACUGCCAUCUGAUGAUAAGCAAUAGCGAAGCAAAUGGUGGAGCUGCAGGUUAUGAAGUGUUGUUAAGACUACAGAGAAGAUGGACCUGUUGUGCAGAUGAAAUGGAUAGAAGACAAAGAUGAACCUAAUGGUUGUGUCAUGGAAACUACAUGGAUGAAUGCUGGUAUGAUGUUGCUGAGACUGGAGGUAUUGAUACUGUUACUGGUGGUUUAGGCGAGGAGGAAAGAGUAGCUGAAAAUAUCUACAGUAAGAAAAUGGAGAAAGAGAAGCUGGAGAAUCUGGAGCCGUUGAUACUAUUACUGGUGGUUUUGAGUUGAAGAUGCAGAUGGUUUACAGGUGGAGUUGUGAUGAUGUUCAUGGGUUGGAAGUGCUAAGUCUAUAAGACUGCAGAAAGAAAUUGGCAGUGUUUGAGUAGGUUGAGCCGCAGUUGCAUGAGCUGAGUGUGGGAAGCUGAAUUGCAGGCAUAUGUUCAUUAUAUGUUGAUGUUGCAGUUGCAAUCUGAGACAGUGUGAAUUUAGAUUGUGAUGUUUGAUCUUAUUACUGUGAUUGUGAUUUUGAUGUUUGAUCUUAGUUCAGAGUGAACACCCUUUUUUAACUCCACCAGUGAAAAUAAUUUAUCAUCUCGUUGUCGGUCUCAAGCCCGGAAAAAGGAGGAGAGAGUAAGGGAAAUUUCUUUGAAUAGAUAUCCAUGUAGCAGUCUUCUUGUAUACUCAAACUAAUUUCUUUGCAUAACCUUGGGUCUAAAUCUAAAUCGACACAAUAUUUUUGUAUAA
This is a long non-coding RNA of Papaver somniferum (opium poppy), 1445 nucleotides long. RefSeq lists it as uncharacterized. The record is from RefSeq and is a predicted model, not a curated record. NCBI's taxonomy places the organism in Eukaryota, Viridiplantae, Streptophyta, Magnoliopsida, Ranunculales, Papaveraceae. The transcript has 3 exons.